GCGUGCAGGAAGAAGGCCUUCGGGUUGUAAACUGCUUUUGUACGGAACGAAACGGUCUGAGUUAAUACCUCGGGCUAAUGACGGUACCGUAAGAAUAAGCACCGGCUAACUACGUGCCAGCAGCCGCGGUAAUACGUAGGGUGCAAGCGUUAAUCGGAAUUACUGGGCGUAAAGCGUGCGCAGGCGGUGAUGUAAGACAGUCGUGAAAUCCCCGGGCUCAACCUGGGAAUUGCGAUUGUGACUGCAUCGCUGGAGUGCGGCAGAGGGGGAUGGAAUUCCGCGUGUAGCAGUGAAAUGCGU
RNAcentral lists this ribosomal RNA (300 nucleotides) under uncultured bacterium. RNAcentral describes it as "bacterial SSU rRNA". It matches the Rfam family "Bacterial small subunit ribosomal RNA", at positions 399 to 691 of the family's 1533-position model. The record is from RNAcentral.